This 90-nucleotide ribosomal RNA is filed under the name uncultured bacterium. RNAcentral's name for it is "partial 16S ribosomal RNA". It matches the Rfam family "Bacterial small subunit ribosomal RNA", at positions 1411 to 1500 of the family's 1533-position model. The record is from RNAcentral.
UUGGGAAUACCCGAAGCCUGUGAGCUAACUGUAAAGAGGCAGCAGUCGAAGGUAGAAUCAAUGAUUGGGGUGAAGUCGUAACAAGGUAAC